CUUGUAUUAAGGUUCUAGAAGUCAUCGAGCCAAUUGCCAAGCUCAAACUCUAAAAUACCACAUUCCACCAGAAUAGCGUUUCUAGUUCUAAAAACUUGUUGCUCAACUCGAUCAUCUAAUCUUAAUCUGAGUAUUCAUUUGGAUUGUUUUUCAGUUUCAAAUGAAUGAUCGAUUUCCAAGUUUUAUGGACAAACGCCAGCCCAAAAUGCAAAAGAUUUUUCAAAACAUGCAGAACUGAUAAAAUUGUCACCGGCCCAAAGAUACUACAAUGAACAACCCUUUAACCAGGUCCAAAAUCAAAAACAACCAAAAUAUGGAAGCGAUCAUGCCAAGGCCAAAAAUAAUAUAUCAUUUCCCCCAAAUACAAGAUCUUCACUCAAAGAAACCUCUCCUUCACCCUGUCCCAGCCAGAAGGAUCCUCAAAUUCUGCAACACCAUUCAUGAAAACAUAAAUCAACAUAUUACAAUACAAAGAUGAACUGUGUAAUAAUAAAUUUCAUGAAGUGCUUUUCAUAUGCAUUACUGCUGGACAACCUAAAUUGAUAAUAGGUGGAAGAAUACCAAAUAAAAGCUUUGCGAUACUUACAUAUCUUGUUGAAGGCCACAAUAUCACAGCUCUGGACAUGCUCAUUCACUGGCUCAACUGUCAGAUGUUCCUCAAUGAGGGAAUCCACAGAUACAAGGUCAUCCACAAUGGUGAGCAUGAUCUGCAAUUUCUUGAUGCCAUAACCAACUGGAACCAGUUUUGACGCUCCCCACAGGAGACCAGGCAUCUCAACACUCCGGACUGACUCCUCCAACUUCUUCAUAUCUGUCUCAUCAUCCCAAGGUUUCACAUCCAAAAGAACCGAAGAUUUUCCACCUAUAAAAUGAACGACAGAUCAAAAUGACAGAAUAUUCGAUGACUUGUAAUCCUUCACUACUAAGUACUGUAAAAACUCACCUAAUUUGGACCACAAGGGAGGAUCUCAAUUUCCAUUGCCAAAAGUUUGGGACUUUCCUAGCAGGCUAGAUAUGCAAUUCAGAGACAAAACAGAAUGUGAAACUUACUCUCUUUCUUCUUGGCAGGCUUUUUAGCUGCCUCCCUCUCCUCCGCUGCCUUCUUUUCCUCCUCUGUCUCAUCACCAAAUAGAUCCAAGUCAUCAUCAUCUCCAUCAGCAGCAGCCUAAAAUAGUUAGUGGAAAAAUUGCAAAACCAACUAAGAAACAAGGAAUUCAUUUAUUAUCUUGCAAAUGGAAAGUGAUCAAUCCUUGAUCCAAAUGCUCAUAAAGUCGAAAAGCUAACUGUACACGUUGCAUGUGAAACAAUAGGAAACAAUAGGCAGAAAGUAAAGACCUAACGAGUUAAUAUUCACAUAGGUAAUCUAUGGUUGAAUCAAACAAAAUCUUUGCUGAAAAGAUCCAAUUUUGGAUUCAUCCUUCAGAUCAUUUAAUCAAGAUCAGUUUUCAAAAUUAAAACAAAAACACAAAUCUCCUUAGCAGAGGUAGCAGCUUCAGCUGGAGCAGCAGCUGUGCCUCCAAUUCUUACUCCAACAGCUUUACCGGGGAAGCUUGCCGCAAGAUGUGAAGAUACACAGUCGUACCACUUGCUGGCAUUGGGGGAGGCAUCUCCAGGCUUCGCCAGAACAGCAGCGUACACCUUUAUGUCAUCCCUUGAUAGUUUAUCCCCAGAAAUAUAAGAUUUUCCGUCGAGAAACCCAUCGAGAAACUUGAGGCCUAAUUCAGUGUGGAGAUCUGAAAAAGUGACUGCCAUUGCUUACAGAGGAAGAUAGGAAGCGGACACGAGACAGUGGGAGAAAGAGGGGCGACUACGAUGGAAGAAGCAGCAGAGCUCAGGAGGAGAUAUUGUUACUUGAACGGGUGAUAUUUAUCUGGUUACAGAACCUGAAAAGAAAUAAACCCUAGAAAUGGAAUGGAUUUGGAUAUUAUAUGUUUUUUUAGCUACCCUAUCCGGCGAUUUACAUCCGAGAAGGCCCUCAAUCAAAC
RNAcentral lists this unclassified non-coding RNA (1985 nucleotides) under Hevea brasiliensis (rubber tree). The record is from RNAcentral. Lineage: Eukaryota; Viridiplantae; Streptophyta; Magnoliopsida; Malpighiales; Euphorbiaceae.